This 107-nucleotide small RNA is filed under the name Marmota monax (woodchuck). Lineage: Eukaryota; Metazoa; Chordata; Mammalia; Rodentia; Sciuridae. The record is from RNAcentral.
GCCAGGCAUGGUGGUGGAUGCCUGAAAUCUCAGCUACUUGGGAGGCUGAGGCAGGAGGAUCACAAGUUCAAGACCAGCCUGAGCAAUUUAGUGAGACUUUGUCUCAA